ACUCAAAGGAAUUGACGGGGACUUGCACAAGCAGUGGAUUAUGUGGUUUAAUUCGAUGGUAAACGAAGAACCUUACCAGGGUUAGAAAUCCUAGUGAAAUCUGCCGGAAACGGUUGACCUCGCAAGACUCUAGGACAGGUGAUGCAUGGCCGUCGUCAGUUCGUGGUUUGAAUUGUACCCUUAAGUGGGCUAACGAACGCAACCCUCGUUGUGUGUUACAAGUGUCACACGAGACCGCCCCCGCCUUAGUUUUUGUCCCUCAACUUUUUUAAAAAGUUUUCGGGAUGAAAUUUAAGGCGGGGGAGGAAGGAGAGGAUGACGCCAGGUCAGCAUGUCCCUUUGAUACCCUGGGCUACACACAUAAUACAAUGGCCACUACAACGCGUUGCGACGAGGCGACUCUGAGCUAAUCGUUUAAAAGUGGCCUCAGUUCGGAUUGGAGGCUGCAACUCGCCUCCAUGAAGCUGGAAUUGCUAGUAAUCGCAGGUCAGCUAAACUGCGGUGAAUACGUUCUCAAGUCUUGUACACACCGCCCGU
This 537-nucleotide ribosomal RNA is filed under the name uncultured bacterium. RNAcentral describes it as "partial 16S ribosomal RNA". It matches the Rfam family "Bacterial small subunit ribosomal RNA", at positions 899 to 1397 of the family's 1533-position model. The record is from RNAcentral.